Molecule: ribosomal RNA, 470 nt
Filed under: uncultured bacterium
Lineage: Bacteria
Description: partial 16S ribosomal RNA
Rfam family: Bacterial small subunit ribosomal RNA
Source: RNAcentral
GACGAACGCUGGCGGCGUGCUUAACACAUGCAAGUCGAACGCUGAAGCACCAGCUUGCUGGUGUGGAUGAGUGGCGAACGGGUGAGUAAUACGUGAGUAACCUGCCCUUGACUCUGGGAUAAGCCCGGGAAACUGGGUCUAAUACUGGAUGCUACAUGUCACCGCAUGGUGGUGUGUGGAAAGGGUUUACUGGUCUUGGAUGGGCUCACGGCCUAUCAGCUUGUUGGUGAGGUAAUGGCUCACCAAGGCGACGACGGGUAGCCGGCCUGAGAGGGUGACCGGCCACACUGGGACUGAGACACGGCCCAGACUCCUACGGGAGGCAGCAGUGGGGAAUAUUGCACAAUGGGCGAAAGCCUGAUGCAGCGACGCCGCGUGAGGGAUGACGGCCUUCGGGUUGUAAACCUCUUUCAGCAGGGAAGAAGCCACAAGUGACGGUACCUACAGAAGUAGCGCCGGCUAACUACGUG